CCGGCGACCGGCGCACGGGUGAGUAACACGUAUGCAACCUGCCCGUCCGCAGGGGGAUAACCCGGAGAAAUCCGGACUAAUACCGCGUGGUACACCAGUGGGGCAUCCCACGGGUGUUAAAAGGAAGCGAUUCCGGCGGAGGAUGGGCAUGCGGCGCAUUAGCUUGUUGGCGGGGUAACGGCCCACCAAGGCGACGAUGCGUAGGGGUUCUGAGAGGAAGGUCCCCCCACACUGGUACUGAGACACGGACCAGACUCCUACGGGAGGCAGCAG
Molecule: ribosomal RNA, 273 nt
Filed under: uncultured bacterium
Lineage: Bacteria
Description: partial 16S ribosomal RNA
Rfam family: Bacterial small subunit ribosomal RNA
Source: RNAcentral